This 949-nucleotide ribosomal RNA is filed under the name uncultured bacterium. RNAcentral describes it as "bacterial SSU rRNA". It matches the Rfam family "Bacterial small subunit ribosomal RNA", at positions 52 to 1015 of the family's 1533-position model. The record is from RNAcentral.
CACAUGCAGUCGAACGAGAGAGAGGGAGCUUGCUUCCUCAAUCGAGUGGCGAACGGGUGAGUAACGCGUGAGGAACCUGCCUCAAAGAGGGGGACAACAGUUGGAAACGACUGCUAAUACCGCAUAAGCCCACGGGUCGGCAUCGACCAGGGGGAAAAGGAGCAAUCCGCUUUGAGAUGGCCUCGCGUCCGAUUAGCUAGUUGGUGAGGUAAUGGCCCACCAAGGCAACGAUCGGUAGCCGGACUGAGAGGUUGAACGGCCACAUUGGGACUGAGACACGGCCCAGACUCCUACGGGAGGCAGCAGUGGGGAAUAUUGCACAAUGGGGGAAACCCUGAUGCAGCGACGCCGCGUGGAGGAAGAAGGUCUUCGGAUUGUAAACUCCUGUUGUUGAGGAAGAUAAUGACGGUACUCAACAAGGAAGUGACGGCUAACUACGUGCCAGCAGCCGCGGUAAAACGUAGGUCACAAGCGUUGUCCGGAAUUACUGGGUGUAAAGGGAGCGCAGGCGGGAAGACAAGUUGGAAGUGAAAUCUAUGGGCUCAACCCAUAAACUGCUUUCAAAACUGUUUUUCUUGAGUAGUGCAGAGGUAGGCGGAAUUCCCGGUGUAGCGGUGGAAUGCGUAGAUAUCGGGAGGAACACCAGUGGCGAAGGCGGCCUACUGGGCACCAACUGACGCUGAGGCUCGAAAGUGUGGGUAGCAAACAGGAUUAGAUACCCUGGUAGUCCACACUGUAAACGAUGAUUACUAGGUGUUGGAGGAUUGACCCCUUCAGUGCCGCAGUUAACACAAUAAGUAAUCCACCUGGGGAGUACGACCGCAAGGUUGAAACUCAAAGGAAUUGACGGGGGCCCGCACAAGCAGUGGAGUAUGUGGUUUAAUUCGACGCAACGCGAAGAACCUUACCAAGUCUUGACAUCCUGCGACGAUGCUGGAAACAGUAUUUU